CAGCCGCCGCGGUAAUACGGGGAGGGCAAGUGUUAUUCGGAAUGACUGGGCGUAAAGGGCGCGUAGGCGGCGAUCAAAGUCAGGCGUGAAAUUCCUGGGCUCAACCUGGGGGCUGCGCUUGAUACUUGGUUGCUUGAGUGGGGAAGAGGGUCGUGGAAUUCCCAGUGUAGAGGUGAAAUUCGUAGACAUUGGGAAGAACACCGGUGGCGAAGGCGGCGACCUGGUCCUUGACUGACGCUGAGGCGCGGAAGCGUGGGGAGCAAACAGGAUUAGAUACACCAGUAGUCCCGUCUCUUAUACA
RNAcentral lists this ribosomal RNA (301 nucleotides) under uncultured bacterium. Its description in RNAcentral is "partial 16S ribosomal RNA". It matches the Rfam family "Bacterial small subunit ribosomal RNA", at positions 509 to 808 of the family's 1533-position model. The record is from RNAcentral.